Molecule: long non-coding RNA, 485 nt
Organism: Lontra canadensis (Northern American river otter)
Lineage: Eukaryota; Metazoa; Chordata; Mammalia; Carnivora; Mustelidae
Exons: 3
Source: RefSeq, a predicted model, not a curated record
UGUUAAACACUACCGUUGACUUCUCAGUUUUACUAAUUGGUGGCUGACCUGAACUUAGCACGUUCUGUGUUAGAUUGCUCAACCUGUCUGCUCCACACAAAGCCGCCUCCCUAACCACUACUUGCUUUCUUUUUUCGAAUUAGCCUACACCCAAAGCCACCGUCAGAUGUCACAGGGAUGAGACUUCACAAGGAGUCCUUGAUGCUCUGUGGUUGUUACUUAUCACCUUUUGGGGGUUCUGAAGAAACACUAUGAAGUUGAUUCCUGACUGCUUGGGCCUUUUCUGUUCACUAGGGCCCAUAAGGCUCCUGAGCCAGGGAAGUGUACCUGGGAGGAUGACAGCAUUGAUUAAUGGUUCUUCCAAUCCCCAGCUCCCACAUACUUCAUAUUUCCUUCUUCUCGUGAAAAAAUACAAAAGCUCUAAUGCAUUUCAACUUGUCCAAAUGGGCCCUCAGUGUGGAAGAUGACUUUAGUUUCUCAAACAG